GAGUUUGAUCGUGGCUCAGAUUGAACGCUGGCGGCAUGCCUUACACAUGCAAGUCGAACGGCAGCAUGAUCUAGCUUGCUAGAUUGAUGGCGAGUGGCGAACGGGUGAGUAAUACAUCGGAACGUGCCCUGUAGUGGGGAUAACUAGUCGAAAGAUUAGCUAAUACCGCAUACGACCUGAGGGUGAAGGUGGGGGACCGCAAGGCCUCAUGCUAUAGGAGCGGCCGAUGUCUGAUUAGCUAGUUGGUGGGGUAAAGGCCCACCAAGGCGACGAUCAGUAGCUGGUCUGAGAGGACGAUCAGCCACACUGGGACUGAGACACGGCCCAGACUCCUACGGGAGGCAGCAGUGGGGAAUUUUGGACAAUGGGCGAAAGCCUGAUCCAGCAAUGCCGCGUGUGUGAAGAAGGCCU
This 411-nucleotide ribosomal RNA is filed under the name uncultured microorganism. RNAcentral's name for it is "bacterial SSU rRNA". It matches the Rfam family "Bacterial small subunit ribosomal RNA", at positions 9 to 417 of the family's 1533-position model. The record is from RNAcentral.